AUUGAACGCUGGCGGAAUGCUUUACACAUGCAAGUCGAACGAUGAACCCUAGCUUGCUAGGGGGAUUAGUGGCGAACGGGUGAGUAAUAUAUCGGAACGUAUCCAUUAAUGGGGGAUAACUAGUCGAAAGAUUGGCUAAUACCGCAUACGUCCUACGGGAGAAAGCUAGGGACCUUCGGGCCUGGCUUUAAUGGAGCGGCCGAUAUCUGAUUAGCUAGUUGGUGAGGUAAAGGCUAACCAAGGCGACGAUCAGUAGCUGGUCUGAGAGGACGACCAGCCACACUGGAACUGAGACACGGUCCAGACUCCUACGGGAGGCAGCAGUGGGGAAUUUUGGACAAUGGGCGCAAGCCUGAUCCAGCCAUUCCGCGUGAGUGAAGAAGGCCUUCGGGUUGUAAAGCUCUUUCGCAAGGGAAGAAAACUUACCCUCUAACAUAGGGUGAGGUUGACGGUACCUUGAUAAGAAGCACCGGCUAACUACGUGCCAGCAGCCGCUGUAA
Molecule: ribosomal RNA, 500 nt
Filed under: uncultured bacterium
Lineage: Bacteria
Description: partial 16S ribosomal RNA
Rfam family: Bacterial small subunit ribosomal RNA
Source: RNAcentral